AUGCCCGCCGAUGAUGUUGUGGAGUUCAGGAAUACUGGGUUGGAGAGAUCAGAGCCACUGAAGAAAGAUCUAGAAUGGUUCAUGGAACAGGGCCACACCAUUCCAGAACCAUCUGCCGCUGGUACUGCAUGUGCCUCCUACCUGGAAGAGUUGUGUGAGAAGGACCCCCAAGCAUUUAUCUGUCACUUCUAUAAUGUGUACUUUGCUCAUACUGCUGGAGGGCGAAUGAUUGGCAAAAAGGUUGUUGAGAAGAUUCUGAACAAGAAAGAGCUGGAGUUCUACAAGUGGGAAAGUACCAUGUGCCAGCUGCUGUAG
RNAcentral lists this ribosomal RNA (315 nucleotides) under Triticum aestivum (bread wheat). RNAcentral's name for it is "partial small subunit ribosomal RNA". Lineage: Eukaryota; Viridiplantae; Streptophyta; Magnoliopsida; Poales; Poaceae. The record is from RNAcentral.